CAGAUGUGUAGGUGCUGCAUGGUUGUCGUCAGCUCGUGCCGUGAGGUGUCGGCUUAAGUGCCAUAACGAGCGCAACCCUCAUCAUUAGUUACCAUCAGGUAAGGCGUGGGGACUCUAAUGAGACUGCCAUCGUAAGAUGUGAGGAAGGUGGGGAUGACGUCAAAUCAGCACGGCCCUUACGUCCGGGGCGACACACGUGUUACAAUGGGUGGUACAAAGGGCAGCUACCUGGCGACAGGAUGCUAAUCUCCAAAACCACUCUCAGUUCGGAUCGGAGUCUGCAACUCGACUCCGUGAAGCUGGAUUCGCUAGUAAUCGCGCAUCAGCCACGGCGCGGUGAAUACGUUCCCGGGCCUU
Molecule: ribosomal RNA, 357 nt
Filed under: uncultured Proteiniphilum sp.
Lineage: Bacteria; Pseudomonadati; Bacteroidota; Bacteroidia; Bacteroidales; Dysgonomonadaceae
Description: bacterial SSU rRNA
Rfam family: Bacterial small subunit ribosomal RNA
Source: RNAcentral